Molecule: long non-coding RNA, 1580 nt
Organism: Saccostrea cuccullata (small rock oyster)
Lineage: Eukaryota; Metazoa; Mollusca; Bivalvia; Ostreida; Ostreidae
Exons: 4
Source: RefSeq, a predicted model, not a curated record
UGUCUUUGUCAAUUUUUUGAAGUACAAGAGAAGCUUCCAGGGAAUACAGGGACCGCACUGAUGGCCGGGGUGUCUACGUUUCUCGUGCUUAGUGCCCUAGUUUUUGGUGUCGCCGUGUUUUUGUACCACAGAAACCUAAAACAACAAGGUGUUGAUAGGAACCAAAUUCUCCAGAAACAUGCAUUGAAUGGAUUGGGAGAGACCAACCACACUGCAGACCUGUAUGUAGAAGUGCCUUCAGAAAAUAAUGAGGAUGGUAUUUAAUCUAAUAAUAAAUGCAAGGAAAGUGUAGACAUAGCAAACCAACACCGUUUACAACCAGGAAUCUCUUCCAAAGUACCUGUAUUUGAAAAAUAUUUAAUCCAUACUAUCCUUUCCAGCAUUUUGUCAAACAUCCUUCAGUUUCUUGCUAUGAAACGUACUUAUUUCUGAUUUUUUAAAUGUACUGCUUGGAUGAUGAUUAAAUACUGGUGGGAUUGAGAGGUGUGUAAAAAUGUAUAUAGAUGUUAAAUUUAUGUUGAAUGAGAUGUACGUUGAUAAAAGGAGUAACACCAAGACAUUCCAGGUAUAUGCAUAAAUGUUUAACAAUAAAAUAAAAGAAAAACAAAUUACAUCAAAUGUGAAACCUGUUAAUUAAAACACCAAACAAAACUCUUCAUCUAGAAAGGUCGUAUUUAUAACUGAAAUCUUAUUUUUCUUUCUCGACUUUCCAAUUUCGUUUUAUAGCAGGAUAAAACCAGCUAGAAAGAUAAAUAGAAAAUUGUAUUUUUGUUUGAAAAUACUAUCCAGCGAGACAUUGCAGAGAAAGUGAUUUUUUGUAAUUCAUUGUCGAUAUGACAGUUUAAAACAGAAGUACACAUUUUUAUAUUAGACUGAGUUGUUUAAGAUAAAGCAUUGUUCAGAGAACAUUGUCUUCUGUAACUAAAAAACACUUACUGUUUUUUGAAGUUCUUUGAAAAAUGUUAAUAUGAAUUAUCAGAAAUGGCGAGUAAAACAAAUGAACAUAAAUGAAAAAUGAUAAAUGUUGCUUUUAAUUAUCUAUAAAUCAAUUUGAAGCAUAAUCCUCCAUGAUGGUCAUGUUCUCUAUAACUAUAUUCCUUCUGGACACGUUAUUACUGGCGAUAUUAAUAUAGUAAAUAAUUAGGACCUUAGUUCACUACAUUUAGAAGGUCCUAAAUCAAGGGAACCCCGAUCCUUCAAUUUGCUUCGUAAAUUUCAUAAAAACUAUGAAUUUUGUAGAAGAUUACUCCAAGCGAUGGACCAGAAAUGAAAAAAAAAAACAUGACACUUUGUCAGAAUAGAUUAAAUAUAUCAGACCGCACAUUAGUAUCUGUAAUAUCCAUCUUGUACGCAACAUUUUGGGUUCAUUUAACGUGACCUUAACUAUAAGGUCAUAAGAGAAAAGUCAAAACACCCAAGAAGUAAGUCAAUGUCCCCUCAGGGCUUCGAAACAAUACGUUUUCUACUACUAUCAGUUUGAUUUUUUUGAUCUUAUAAUUAAUUUUAUAUUAUGUUUUUUUCUGUGUAAUUCAGAUUAUUUCAACGAUGUUUUUGAUGAUAAAUUAAAUUUUAUGUCUCUA